Molecule: ribosomal RNA, 487 nt
Filed under: uncultured bacterium
Lineage: Bacteria
Description: bacterial SSU rRNA
Rfam family: Bacterial small subunit ribosomal RNA
Source: RNAcentral
CUACGUGCCAGCAGCCGCGGUAAUACGUAGGUGGCGAGCGUUGUCCGGAAUCAUUGGGCGUAAAGGGAGCGCAGGCGGGCCGGUAAGUCUUACUUAAAAGUGCGGGGCUCAACCCCGUGAUGGGAGAGAAACUAUCGGUCUUGAGUACAGGAGAGGAAAGCGGAAUUCCCAGUGUAGCGGUGAAAUGCGUAGAUAUUAGGAAGAACACCAGUGGCGAAGGCGACUUUCUGGACGAAAACUGACGCUGAGGCGCGAAAGCCAGGGGAGCGAACGGGAUUAGAUACCCCGGUAGUCCUGGCCGUAAACGAUGGGUACUAGGUGUAGGAGGUAUCGACCCCUUCUGUGCCGGAGUUAACGCAAUAAGUACCCCGCCUGGGGAGUACGACCGCAAGGUUGAAACUCAAAGGAAUUGACGGGGGCCCGCACAAGCGGUGGAGUAUGUGGUUUAAUUCGACGCAACGCGAAGAACCUUACCAGGUCUUGACAU